This 558-nucleotide small RNA is filed under the name Arabidopsis thaliana (thale cress). Its description in RNAcentral is "ATSL148390". The record is from RNAcentral. Lineage: Eukaryota; Viridiplantae; Streptophyta; Magnoliopsida; Brassicales; Brassicaceae.
AAAUGAAGGGAGAAGUAUUGCUAACAUUAAACGAAGGGAGAAGUAUUGUUUAAAAAAUAAAAUAAACUUUUUCGACAUAGUAAAAAUAUUAUAAUUAAACUCUGCAAAAAGUUAAUACAAAUUGAAGAAAACAAUACUAGAGUCAUAUUUCACUAAUUGAGAUAGGAUGAACAUAUUCUUUUGGGUUUUGAAUAGCUUUGCCAUGAAGUUGGUCAAAAUGCUUAGGAACAAAAGUAGAAGAAUUCUGGUUAUCAAUGUUCUUAACCCUUGUGUUGAGGGCAUCAAUCUUGAUGUUCAGAUCAUUGUAGGAGCAGUCAAUUCUUGUUGUUAACUCAGCGAGCUUCUUUUCGAUGGCCAUUGUACUGGAUGCUUGUCCUUGCACAAUUUGCUGAAGCAAAGUCUUCAUGUCCGAAUCUUGUGCAGGAGGAGCUUGUUGUGGCUGAGUAAAACCUUGAUUGUAUGGAACAAAAGGUUUAGGUUGAGCUUGUUGGUUCUGUUGAAUGUAAACUUGAUCUUGUAUAUAUAUACAUAUUGGGAAAUUUGUACAAUUAUUAAUUU